RNAcentral lists this ribosomal RNA (253 nucleotides) under uncultured bacterium. RNAcentral's name for it is "partial 16S ribosomal RNA". It matches the Rfam family "Bacterial small subunit ribosomal RNA", at positions 524 to 776 of the family's 1533-position model. The record is from RNAcentral.
UACGGGGGGGGCAAGCGUUGUUCGGAAUUACUGGGCGUAAAGGGCGCGUAGGUGGCCUUCUAAGUUGAACGUGAAAUCCCUGGGCUCAACCCAGGAACUGCGUCCAAGACUGGGAGGCUUGAAUCCGGGAGAGGGAUGCGGAAUUCCAGGUGUAGCGGUGAAAUGCGUAGAUAUCUGGAGGAACACCGGUGGCGAAGGCGGCAUCCUGGACCGGUAUUGACACUGAGGCGCGAAAGCGUGGGGAGCAAACAGG